RNAcentral lists this transfer RNA (75 nucleotides) under Cordylochernes scorpioides. Its description in RNAcentral is "tRNA-Thr". The record is from RNAcentral. Lineage: Eukaryota; Metazoa; Arthropoda; Arachnida; Pseudoscorpiones; Chernetidae.
UGUCAAGGGAUGGGAAUCGAACCCAUGACCUUCCGCCUACCGGGCAGAUGCCAUGACCACUAGGCUACCCUGGAC